AAAAAAAAAAUAAAGAAAUUGAAAACCACAGCUAAUAAUUUGGGAGUGGUUGAAACCCCACUUACCCAAAAAAAAACAAAGAAAUUGAAGACUAAUGCUAUUGAUUUUAGGGCUUAAGAAAUAAAUAAACCUUAAAUUUGCUAGUAGGCACUGCACUACAACAAGCUUCAAUCACCAGAAUCAAAAAUUCCAUUUACUAUAGCCAAAAAUGCCACAACUCAUCUCUACAAUCAAAACAAACAGUCAUGGAUUUAAAAUCCAUUUUGUU
This 268-nucleotide unclassified non-coding RNA is filed under the name Hevea brasiliensis (rubber tree). The record is from RNAcentral. Lineage: Eukaryota; Viridiplantae; Streptophyta; Magnoliopsida; Malpighiales; Euphorbiaceae.